Molecule: ribosomal RNA, 238 nt
Filed under: Clostridium yunnanense
Lineage: Bacteria; Bacillati; Bacillota; Clostridia; Eubacteriales; Clostridiaceae
Description: Clostridium sp. YIM B02505 partial 23S ribosomal RNA
Rfam family: Bacterial large subunit ribosomal RNA
Source: RNAcentral
GGUCAAGCUACAAAGGGCGCAUGGUGAAUGCCUUGGCAUCAAGAGCCGAAGAAGGACGUGACAAGCUGCGAUAAGCUUUGGGUAGGCGCAAAUAGCCUGUGAUCCAAAGAUUUCCGAAUGAGGAAACUCACGUAGGUAACCCUACGUAUCCUGUGGUGAAUACAUAGCGACAGGAGGGUAAACCUAGGGAACUGAAACAUCUAAGUACCUAGAGGAAGAGAAAGAAACAUCGAUUCCG